Molecule: transfer RNA, 86 nt
Filed under: Fusarium langsethiae
Lineage: Eukaryota; Fungi; Ascomycota; Sordariomycetes; Hypocreales; Nectriaceae
Rfam family: tRNA
About the family: Transfer RNA (tRNA) molecules are approximately 80 nucleotides in length. Their secondary structure includes four short double-helical elements and three loops (D, anti-codon, and T loops).
Source: Rfam by way of RNAcentral
UCCCGGGUGACGCAAUUGGUUAGCGUGUCAGACUUUUACAGUAUAAGUAAAUCUGAAAGUUGCGAGUUCGAGUCUCGCCUCGGGAG